RNAcentral lists this ribosomal RNA (444 nucleotides) under Clostridioides difficile. RNAcentral describes it as "bacterial SSU rRNA". It matches the Rfam family "Bacterial small subunit ribosomal RNA", at positions 1017 to 1462 of the family's 1533-position model. Lineage: Bacteria; Bacillati; Bacillota; Clostridia; Peptostreptococcales; Peptostreptococcaceae. The record is from RNAcentral.
CUUCGGGGACAUUGGUGACAGGUGGUGCAUGGUUGUCGUCAGCUCGUGUCGUGAGAUGUUGGGUUAAGUCCCGCAACGAGCGCAACCCUUGUCUUUAGUUGCCAUCAUUAAGUUGGGCACUCUAGAGAGACUGCCAGGGAUAACCUGGAGGAAGGUGGGGAUGACGUCAAAUCAUCAUGCCCCUUAUGCUUAGGGCUACACACGUGCUACAAUGGGUAGUACAGAGGGUUGCCAAGCCGUAAGGUGGAGCUAAUCCCUUAAAGCUACUCUCAGUUCGGAUUGUAGGCUGAAACUCGCCUACAUGAAGCUGGAGUUACUAGUAAUCGCAGAUCAGAAUGCUGCGGUGAAUGCGUUCCCGGGUCUUGUACACACCGCCCGUCACACCACGGGAGUUGGAGACGCCCGAAGCCGAUUAUCUAACCUUUUGGAAGAAGUCGUCGAAGG